Long non-coding RNA from Scophthalmus maximus (turbot), 6358 nucleotides. The record is from Ensembl. Lineage: Eukaryota; Metazoa; Chordata; Actinopteri; Pleuronectiformes; Scophthalmidae.
AAAAGUCAAUCGCAGUAACAGGAAGUAGUUUACACGAUGAAGAGUAAUACUGGCCAUUCAUUGGUGGGGAAGAUCUGAGACGCGCAGAGACAGAGAGACAGGAAGUAGAGUGUGCGUGCGGUGUAUAACACUUGGCUGACAGCGAAAAAAGUCCGCGUAAAGUUUGCGCAAACAAAUACGAGUUGACGUGUGAAGAUUAUCUACUCAACAGUCUUCACCAGGGUAUCCCCUCCACAUAUGGCUCUUCGGUGUUUCUAUCCGACGUUCAUCAUACCGUUGUUCAGGUGUUCGUAUUUAGCUUCAGGUGUGCGUGUGUUAGCUCAUUAGCAUACGCCGUUUAUUUUAUUAGCAUUCAUUAGCAUAGCGAGUGGACACUUAGCCGCCGCAUAGCUUAUCGAGCUGGCGUUGACGGCUUUAUAGUGCAUGUGUUUUCGACGUGGACACCUUGAGGAUUUAAAGAGACUGUGCCGGAGCUGUCCAGCUAACGGGUCAGCGCUCCUCCUCCUUCUGCUUCGCGGGAGAGACCUCGCCAUCUCUGGACAUCCGGUCCGCCGACGCCACCUAGAACUUCGCUCGCGGGAGACCGACAGACCGGUGACGUCAUCUGUUGACAGACACCUGCCGGCCACGUGUUCCUCGACUCAGAACCGAGCUAAGCCGUCCGUGGCUCCACUUCAGGGAAGGAGCCGGCGUGGAUGUUAAAUGAGACGAGGUGGCCCAGGACCUUCGGGCCAAGUUGGCGGACAUUCCCGUCACUGAUGGAUCCGCCGUGCAAUCAAACAUCUAGACGAAAGCCACGGUGCCCCUUCAGUGGGACUGUGCAGGGCGACUCUACAGCUAACACAGAUGGACUAUCCCUGUUCUGCCAGACUGAAAUAACACAGAAGCAUGUGGAGAGAGGAAGGGGUUGACAUGCGCCAAACGACCCGGACUGGACUCAAGCCCCUGACCAGAAAAGCAAGGCUUAUUCUAUCAGGUCGCGGGCGGCUGGAGCCAGCUGACAUUGGGCGAGAGAUGAUUUGCACCCUGGGCCGGUCGCCAGCGCAGCGCAGCGAUGAAUUCCCGGACCACCCGUCAGCCAGACUGAAGCUGACAGAGGAAGAGGGAGGAAGAAAGAAAGAAAGACAGACAGACAGACAGAAGGAAAAAGAGACGAUUCUGUUGUUACACACCUUGUUAAGCUUGCUUGAAGGAUGCAGGUGUGUUGACACUGCUCCCUGUCAAAGGCGAUUUGAGGGCAGUUCAGUCACUGUCAGGGCCAAGGCCAGCCCGGGUUGCGGGGCGUCUGUGUUUAUCAGCUCUGUUAGAUCCUGUCAUCCACCAGGCUCAGAGCAGAGCACAGGGGACCGAUCAUCAUCUCCUCCAGCAGGUAAAGAACAUUGAAGUGACAGGAAAGGACCUCCAACCACACACACACACACACAUACACACCUGAAGAAAGAAAGGGGAAAAAACACACAACAUCCAAACUGCUGGCCACUCUCAGUCUGUCAGGAGCUGUGGACGAAAUGUUCUCGUGCAUCUGAUUUGGUGCGUGUCAGUCCCCCCCCAGGUCUGAUGAGAGGACUGCUUGAUCCUUAUGAAACUUACAAUACAAAGAAAUAUCAGACCAUAUUGUGCUCUGACAAACCACAAAGGCCACAACACUGACUGUGUAGCUUCCACCUGAUUACACUUAGACCUGCUGUUAGCAUGCUACUCUAGUGUCCACCGCGAGAUUGAGAUCCGAUUGCUCUCUCCGGCUCAUGCUACGUCCUCCUUCGUUUGCACGGGUCCAAAAAAACCAAACAACAGCAAAAAAAAUUUAAAAAAUAGAAGAUGUCAGCCAUUCCAAGAUGGAACCCCCGGGAGCUGCUAGCUAGCAGCUACCUAGCUGAGUUCAGCACAGCUGCUAUUGUUAGCUAGCUAGCUAACUCUCCCUACCUGAAUACUGUAGGAGUUGGCUAGCUAGUUACUAUUAGAACACACACACAGUAUCAUACAUUAAUCAGCAUCAUAGCUGCGGGGGGCCCCACAGACACUGCUUAUGGAUGGGGCCCAGAAUUUGCUGCUACACCCCUGCUUACAUGUGCCGUCAGUGUGGUGGUGGGGGCGUCAUUGAAAGUGCUAUUUUUUUCAUUUAACAUUCAUUAGAAUUCCCCAUGAACAACAAAUGAAAAUUAAGAAAAGACGCUCACAUCAGUUAAAAAACGCACUGGUGAUAUGAGUUCUGACCGAGUAAACGUCACUCGACGUAUGUGACGUUGAAAGUGUGUGAAGAGAUGAGAAAGAUGUCUUCCUCUUCUUCUAUGCUUCAGGAAAAAGUCAGGCUCUUUCCAUUUAGAACAUCAUUUUGUCUGCACAGGUCUGCAGAAACGCGUUGUGUGCAUAUACCAAGUUCAUCUCCUUAUUUUUUCUCAGUUUCAUUAUUUGAAUUGCACCGUCACCUCUCCUGUGUAAAUAUCUGUGGGCAGACGCAAAUAUGUUAUACUGUUGUGCUCUUUUGCUCAGGAUAAAGCUAAAGACGUACAGCAGUAUUUACUGUAUCUGUGGCCUGUUCAAUCACUUGUUGAGUGAUUUAAAUAAAAAGCUGGUUCGGUUUAAGUUUUUACAGCUGUAGGUUAAAUAAUUGACAGUUAAAGUUUCUACAUUUCCUGGCAGCGAGACAGAUUCGAUAAGCGGAACUCUGUGCAACCUUUUCUCCGCUGAUCUAGUAGUGAAUUACUCGGUAAUAAGCACCAUGUGUAGGGCCACAGCACAGAAAUCCAAGGGCCAGAUUGCAAAUAGGUGUUUCUAAUACCCUCUGGAAUAUGAAAAUGCCUCUGCCUCUGUGUCAACUUGUCAACAGGGAGUCUUUCUUUCUUUCGGGGUUUUUUCCUUCUUUGCCAAAUGAAACAAUCAGGUCAUUAAUUGUUGAUGACAGCUUUGCAGGUACAGCUGUCAUGCUCCGGUGAUAUUCAUAUUCGUCGGACCUCAAACGCCUUGGAAACAGUUUGAAUCGACUCUUAUCAAGCUUUAAAAAAAGAUAUAAUUCAUCAAAUCCUGGUUUGGAUUAAACACACUGAGAAACGGGUGAAAUUUCAAAAACGCCGGCACAAUUAGCCUGCAAACUAAUUCGCAGGUUCUGCCCAGUUACGUUUGUGGCGGUGUCUGUGGGACCUGGGGAUUCAAACCGUACCACAAGUGAGUGUUUUCUGUUAAAACAAACAUCUGUUCAAUGUUUUCUCAUAGUGAGCUCACCCACCGGACAAAAUUACCCAGGAAAAACAUGCCCAUCAAAACUUUUUUUCUUUUUUUUCUUUUUUUUUUAUCCCUGAGACCUUCAAACCUUCACGUAAAAAACCCCCACAAAUGGCUGAAUGUGGAAAGGAGGGGAAGUCGGAGGUAGAAGCAGGUAGCCAUGAAGUUAGGAAUGUAAGACGGAUGGAGAUGCUGCGGAGUAAAGGUCAGGAUAAUGACUGUGGACAAGUCCAGAGGAGUAGACCGCCGAGCCGUGACUCCCAGCACUAAUAGGAUUAAGAAGGAUGGGAUUCCCCCUGGAGGACAGGACACACUCACACCAGAGAGGGAUGGAAGGAGCGACAUCGCUGCCUCGCCUGGCAAUACACCCGCAGGACUGGGUUUAAGUGUGUGUGUGUGUGUUGCACUCCUCUGCGGAGGGGCAUAUGAGUACCAAAAGGUCCUCGUAAGGAUAGGACGACGAAAAUAAUCCUCUAACCUGAGAACAUAUGGCCGCAUGGCUAUGAGAGGUUACUUUACUUUGUGGACUUUGAUUUACGGUAAACUUUAGCUGAGUUUUUCAGGGCUGUUACCAGUCGUUACCGAGUAGUAGUUGUAGCUGAGUGAAAUGUUAAAAACCUGCUUUUGCAACCUCUUUGUUAAAAGCACUCACUUUCGUAUCUUUUAUUUUUUUCAGAGUUUUGACCCUGCCAACAUGCUCAUUAUUCUGGUACGUUUUUAUUUUAUUUGUUAUUUGAUGCUAUAAAAACGGGGCGAACCGUCACGAUUGACAACUGAGACUUACUCACGAUUGGUUGAGCAUGUGUAUCGGAGGGACCUCGACACCCUUUCUCCAGUCCACGAUCACUACUGUGCAGACUCCGGAUUCCAAAUGAUGUCAGCAGUGCACGUUGGCUGUAGUGCCCAUAUUCAUAAUAUUUUGGCCUCAUUUUUGUAUGGGGGCAGGACUUGGAGACGUGUCGUCCAUCUUUAUUUACAGUCCAUGAUCUGGCUAAACAGUUUGGGUUCUGAGUUAAUUAUCUGGAUAGCUGUUGGAUGGACCACCUUGAAAUUUGGAUGUCUUACAAAUAUAUAUCCCAAAGACUAAGAAAUCAAAACACUUUGUUGAUCCCUUGCUUUCUUAUUUGGCUCAAAGUCAAGGUCAAUUAUCCUCAAACAUUUCUACCGUCCAAUGGACGGAUUCGUCAAAAAGGUUGUACAGAGACAAAUGGUUCACAUGUGACAACUUUCACGAACCACUGACUUCUUCUAUUGUGCCACCGUAUGGUUGACAUUUUUUUGGGCUUCAAAAGGAAAAUGCCCCACAGAUUGAUUUGUAACUUUCAUCUUGCUUGUAUAUCUAAAUACCUGUGAAACUAAUAACAUCCCCUUCAGCGGAGACCUCGUACGCUGUAUCUGAUGCUAAUUGACAUGAUAUUAGCAUGAUGUUGAUGAUGUAUGAUUGGUCCCAGGGUUUAAAUAAACGCUUGAUCUUGUUGUUGACGUUUGAGCCCUAUAGCUGCAAAUCUCUUAUUCAGAUAAUGCAAAUGUAUAUGAUGAAUUUUUUACACCACUAUUCAAGUCAUUCCCUUCUCUGGUGGGUCUCCUGCUCUUCGUCUCCCCCUGUUGUUUCACACACUUUGCAGUUGCUUGCCUCCGACUUAUCCAAAUUGUGACGACGUGACAGCAGCACAAUCACGCACGCAAAAGCCCCUUCUCCCUCCUCUCCACUUGUUGUUCACCUUCCUCAACGAGAGGGAGGCGAGGAGAAAGAAAGAGAGAAAGGCCUGUGUGUGUGUGAUGGCGAGUGGUGGUGACAGAGAGCGCUGCCUGGGAGCCUCUUCACGGCCCUGUCCACAACAUCACAGCCCACAGAGAACCAGAGCAUCACAUCGCCUGCAACACUUCUCGGCUGCUUCUGACACACACUCACACAAACACACGUUUUCCAGUGCUACACUUUUUAGUCUUCACUGACUUUUUGUUUUCUCAGUCGGCAACCAUCAACCAAAAUGGAAACAUGGAAGUAGAUAAAGUAUUGCAGGAGUAUUUCUCUACUCGAAUUCAUUGUUACCUGCAGUACUCAACGUUUGCUAAUAGUGAAAUCUGCAUUACGCUUAUAUUGGCUGAAUUAAAUGGCCUGACAUUAGGAUGUGGAACAUUAAAAACUGUGAGUACCUGUAAGACAACAUCCAAGUACAAUACAAGCAUAGGCACCAAAUAAUGGAUUUUAAGGCUAAAACCGGGAGUUUGUUCACACUGUGUUCGUGGUCCCUUUAUUGAUACUGUGUCCCUAGAUCACAGAAAUGAAAACUGUGUAUAUGAUCAUAACCAAAAUGAAAUACGGGCAAAACUAUUCCAAUUAGUUUCAUUUGAUGUAUUUAAGCUUCUCUUUUGGUUGUUUUUAGACUGCCUUAUUAAAACAUGGCCUCUUUGAGCACUUUAUUAAAAAACGUAGUCACGGUUUAUUGCUAGGCGGCCUCUAGUGGCCACACAUAUCAUGACGUUAGCAAAGGAGGAAGUCAGGUGACACAGUGUACAGAGCCAAAGAUUUCACAUGAGGUCCACAGAGGUCCUCCGACCUUAGCGACGGACUUUAACCAGCACCGUGAUCUUUCCCUACACCUGAUCGAGUAGUUUAUAAAAAUGUGCCUUAUUUUGUGGAUUUCUUUAAAUAGAUUUAACUGUUCACCUUCAGAGACACGUUUCACUUUUUAGGUUGUUGUUUUUUUUUUAAAUCAAACACAUUCAAUUGCUCACCUGAUGCAAAUAUCUAUUGAACAUUGCUGUGGUCACUUUAUCCUAAGCAAUACAUUUCCCAAGAAUCUUCCUAUUCCUGUAAUCUAAUAAAAUCGAACCUAAUCUAACCCUAACUGGCCUCAGCCCCUGCUCCUUCUCAUAAUCCGUAUUGCUUUUCGGCCCUCACAAGGAUAGCGGUACAAGAAGGCACACGCAACUGAACACACACAUUCCCAUGUGCGUCCUGUUUGAACACACACCCACCCUCCAGCUCAGUACUUAGGGAGCAUAUGCUGGGUGCUGAGUCUCUCUGUCCUCAGGGGCCCGGGGGACAGAGGCCCCUGCCCGCCUGUCUUGUCUGCCUAUUUAUGACCAGAGCCAACUGGACAGGGCUGACGGAUGGGCCCCUGGAGCUGGGGAC